AGGGGCCGGCGGCUUGGGCCGCCUCGGGGAGGGGAGGCAGCGCACCGGCCAUUUUCAGCUCGGGUGGAGCUAAGUUUGGUAUCUGUAACCUGGAGGUG
Molecule: unclassified non-coding RNA, 98 nt
Organism: Vulpes vulpes (red fox)
Lineage: Eukaryota; Metazoa; Chordata; Mammalia; Carnivora; Canidae
Source: Ensembl